CCUUUCACCUACAUAUUCCUAUGAGGUAAUGCCAGGAGGAGCUGAUGAGCCUAUAAAAGCUUGGUUCCGCACAGGAAAAGGGCUCUCCCUCUCCAGUACGCUGGCAUUGUGUGGCUGGAGCCAAGAACGCCUUUAGACGAAGAUGGAUUUUUCAUUCUUUUUGAGAUUGGACCAAAAUCUACUAAAAUGAAUUUUUACAGUCUUUGAAUUGGACUUUGUCAAAUUUUAAGCUUAUAGGUAGGCUAGGAGAGAGGACUUCGGGCCAGCAGGAAAGGGAGAUGCCAUUUUCAAGGUGUGGUCCUCCUCCUGAAGGCCGCCUAUCUAUUCAAACAGAAUUCGGAUUUUGGAACAAAGGAGAACUGAUCACUCGACUUGUUCAACCAAAUAGCAUUUUAGACAUUUUGUCUCCUCUUAUGCUCUGAGUUUGCAUGUCCACGUCUGCGCUGAUGUUUACAAUCUCGCCAUCCAGUACAAUGGCGCGAUGACGGCUGCCAUCCAACGAGCUGUUGUACUUCUCAAUGGCAUGCUGUGAUGGCCACAAGAUGACAACCAAUGUAUAAGAACAAAGUUCACUACCACAUGGAUUGGUCAAAGUUAUACAAACAUCUUUUCCCAACUUUUUAAGACACACACUCAGUAUCUCCCAGCAUCACUACCUCCCAAAAUCCCCACGUCACCACUAAAAACAAAGUUGGUUGAAUGUAUUUUUUAUGCUGUUUUUGCAGCAUAGAGCAAGCUUUCCUAAACAUUUCAAGUCAUGCACCCCCUUAACACUCUGACACGAUUGAUGCACCAAUACCAAUAUCAAGCCACCCCCAAAAAUGCAAACCCUAACACUCUAAUUAUAUUUACACAACUCCCUGAAACGCUCCAUUGCAAAUAGCACACUCCUGUCAAGCAAAACCUUCCUUAAACACAUCAAAAACAAACUGAUGACUAUUUUAACAAUGUGGACAAGGAUUUUCCAAACUUUUCAUGCCAACAGGCCUCUAAACACCCUGAUACAGUAGGUGCAUCCCUGACGCCAAACCCCACAACCCAAAGAUUUUUAAAUGAUUUUUAAAUUUCUAAUUUUUUUUAAUGCACACACCACCUUUACCAUGCCUGCAGAAAUAGCGCACACUCAUCAUGACACCACUACAACAGCCCCCUCAACUCCCCAAAAGUAGAUUAAUAAUUUUCAGCCUCUUGAUGUACUAAUGUUAUGUCAUCUAAAAACUUUAUCCAAAGUUUACACAUUUUAAGUUACAACGCCUUUCAACACAACAGCUUAUUUAGAACACUACUAACUGCAGCAACGCAAACCAUCCGCAACCUACUUAAAAAAAGAAACAAAAAUAACGCAAAUCAUCUUCAACCUACUUAAAAAAAGAAACAAAAAUAAAACAUACAAGAAUAUAUGUGUGUGUGUGUGUGCGUGCGUGUGUGUGUGUGUGCGUAUGUUUGUGUGAAACCUACACUAACAUCGUCAACAGAUGUGUUGAGCUUAUGCAGCUGCGUCCAGGCCAUGGUCCUGGCGUUGAGGUUGUGCAGCUGUGCAGCGAGCGAGUCAAAGUUGAUCGGAUGCAGAUCAUCCAGCAGGACGAUGACGCAGCUGUCACAUGCUGCCAUGGUCUGGGUGAUGACUGAAUUAGAAGUUGCUGUCUGGAUUCUGUGCCAAGUGACCAGGGAAAGAUCUAAGGUGGACCAUUUUCCCGGACGUAGAUUUCUGCAGUGACCAAUUGGACUGGGACAUACUUCGCUCAAGACGUCCUGUUUCAGCACUUUAUCUGAUCGAAUGGACUUUCACAUAUUUUUGCUAAUAUUGUCUACCAUUAUAGUACGUGUUAAAUGUUGCUGCAUCCAUUGCAGCCUGGUCAUACUGGACUGGAAGGGGUUUGCAGUCUCUUCUCAAGAUUUACUAUUUAUCCCAUGUUUUUUUUUUUCUUGCACUCCUAUGGGUUAAGAUUAAGGGAUAUUGUUAACAUGUUUUUCAAAGCAUGUAAAGCCCCUUGAGACUUUUUUGUUAUUAAGGGCUAUAUAAAUAAAUUUGGCUUGACAUGA
This is a long non-coding RNA of Syngnathus acus (greater pipefish), 2043 nucleotides long. RefSeq lists it as uncharacterized. The record is from RefSeq and is a predicted model, not a curated record. The transcript is spliced from 3 exons. Lineage: Eukaryota; Metazoa; Chordata; Actinopteri; Syngnathiformes; Syngnathidae.